Molecule: transfer RNA, 74 nt
Filed under: Tuber brumale (winter truffle)
Lineage: Eukaryota; Fungi; Ascomycota; Pezizomycetes; Pezizales; Tuberaceae
Also listed under: 4 other names
Description: tRNA-Pro
Rfam family: tRNA
About the family: Transfer RNA (tRNA) molecules are approximately 80 nucleotides in length. Their secondary structure includes four short double-helical elements and three loops (D, anti-codon, and T loops).
Source: RNAcentral
CGGAUUAGAGCCAGGGUGGUUGAGGCGUCUCGUUUGGGACGGGAUUUUUUUGGGUUCAAAUCCUGAUAAUCCGA